CGCUGAUCCAAUACUUGGAUAGGUGAUCCUUCAGGUUACUUGCAGCCACACAAAGUCAUCUAGCCUCUACAGAAUGUCCACACGAAGACCAGUGCAGAUUAGGCUCCUUGAAAGUGCUAGCUUACAAGGAUCUUCGAGGAUGAUUUCUCCCUUCUUCUUCAAAGCUCUUGGACACUUCAAAGGAAGAGAAGAUCUGGAGGA
RNAcentral lists this long non-coding RNA (201 nucleotides) under Elaeis guineensis (African oil palm). Its description in RNAcentral is "long non-coding RNA (EGUI_LNC067603)". Lineage: Eukaryota; Viridiplantae; Streptophyta; Magnoliopsida; Arecales; Arecaceae. The record is from RNAcentral.